CAUACCGAAAGGUAUGCUAAUACGAGAUAAUAUAUUUUAAUCGCAUGGUUAAGAUAUCAAAGCUCUGGCGGUACAGGAUGGACCCGCGUCUGAUUAGCUAGUUGGUGAGGUAAUGGCUCACCAAGGCGACGAUCAGUAGCCGACCUGAGAGGGUGAUCGGCCACACUGGAACUGAGACACGGUCCAGACUCCUACGGGAGGCAGCAGUGGGGAAUAUUGCACAAGGGGCGAAAGCCUGAUGCAGCAACGCCGCGU
RNAcentral lists this ribosomal RNA (255 nucleotides) under uncultured bacterium. Its description in RNAcentral is "partial 16S ribosomal RNA". It matches the Rfam family "Bacterial small subunit ribosomal RNA", at positions 147 to 402 of the family's 1533-position model. The record is from RNAcentral.